Molecule: transfer RNA, 105 nt
Filed under: Neurospora tetrasperma FGSC 2508
Lineage: Eukaryota; Fungi; Ascomycota; Sordariomycetes; Sordariales; Sordariaceae
Also listed under: 1 other name
Description: tRNA-Ser (CGA) (tRNA-Ser-CGA-6-1)
Rfam family: tRNA
About the family: Transfer RNA (tRNA) molecules are approximately 80 nucleotides in length. Their secondary structure includes four short double-helical elements and three loops (D, anti-codon, and T loops).
Source: RNAcentral
GGUCCGUUGGUGUAAUGGUCAACACUACCUAAUCUGGCGUAUUGUCGUGGUGUCCGCGGCUCUACGGCAGCGUGGAAGUUACCGGUUCGAAUCCGGUACUGGCUA